GUUGUGAUUAGCUUUCAUUUUAGUAUCUUUGAACCAUCGGAAACAAC
RNAcentral lists this non-coding RNA (47 nucleotides) under uncultured Parabacteroides sp. The record is from RNAcentral. Lineage: Bacteria; Pseudomonadati; Bacteroidota; Bacteroidia; Bacteroidales; Tannerellaceae.